GUGAGUCAUCGAAUCUUUGAACGCACCUUGCACUCUUUGGUAUUCCGAAGAGUAUGUCUGUUUGAGUGUCAUGAAACUCUCAACCCCCUUAUUUUGUAAUGAUAUAAGUGUGGGCUUGGUUCAUGGUUGUUGAAGGCUUAACAGUCUUCUCAACUGAAAUACACGAGCUACCUAUUUUAUAAUAGACGGUUUGACUCGGCGUAAUAACUAUUUCGCUGAGGACGUUUUCUUUAAAGUUAGUGGUGCUUCUAAUGCGUUAUAAUACAUCAUAAGCUUUAGACCUCAAAUCAGUCAGGACUACCCGCUGAACUUAA
This 314-nucleotide ribosomal RNA is filed under the name uncultured fungus. RNAcentral describes it as "eukaryotic LSU rRNA". The stretch from base 1 to 71 matches the Rfam family "5.8S ribosomal RNA", at positions 84 to 154 of the family's 154-position model. The record is from RNAcentral. Lineage: Eukaryota; Fungi.